Molecule: long non-coding RNA, 303 nt
Organism: Heterocephalus glaber (naked mole-rat)
Lineage: Eukaryota; Metazoa; Chordata; Mammalia; Rodentia; Bathyergidae
Source: RefSeq, a predicted model, not a curated record
AACGACUCUUGCCCGGAGUUUGCGUGCUGGGCCCAGAUUCCACUCCUGUGAAGCAAGAUCUUCUGGGACCUUGAUGGAGAAAAAAGGUAGAUAUGUGGAACCAGAAACCAAGAAAGAAGGAGUUCCAGUCUUCAACUUGGACAUCAUUUCCUGGCUUCCAGUGAAGACUCUUCAGCUUCUGGCACAGAUCCUUUAGCCUUCCAUCGCAGACCCAUUGGCCUCCUGAUAUGAACUCCAGCGGGACACUGCAGGGAGCUCCAGACCUUUGACUAAAUCCUUUAGUCUCCAGUGCACAGACAGAGC